This 1034-nucleotide ribosomal RNA is filed under the name Mycobacterium sp. 1245852.3. RNAcentral's name for it is "bacterial SSU rRNA". It matches the Rfam family "Bacterial small subunit ribosomal RNA", at positions 1 to 1035 of the family's 1533-position model. The record is from RNAcentral. Lineage: Bacteria; Bacillati; Actinomycetota; Actinomycetes; Mycobacteriales; Mycobacteriaceae.
UUUUGUUUGGAGAGUUUGAUCCUGGCUCAGGACGAACGCUGGCGGCGUGCUUAACACAUGCAAGUCGAACGGAAAGGCCUCUUCGGAGGUACUCGAGUGGCGAACGGGUGAGUAACACGUGGGCAAUCUGCCCUGCACUUCGGGAUAAGCCUGGGAAACUGGGUCUAAUACCGGAUAGGACCUUUAGACGCAUGUCUUUUGGUGGAAAGCUUUUGCGGUGUGGGAUGGGCCCGCGGCCUAUCAGCUUGUUGGUGGGGUGAUGGCCUACCAAGGCGACGACGGGUAGCCGGCCUGAGAGGGUGUCCGGCCACACUGGGACUGAGAUACGGCCCAGACUCCUACGGGAGGCAGCAGUGGGGAAUAUUGCACAAUGGGCGCAAGCCUGAUGCAGCGACGCCGCGUGGGGGAUGACGGCCUUCGGGUUGUAAACCUCUUUCACCAUCGACGAAGGUCCGGGUUUUCUCGGAUUGACGGUAGGUGGAGAAGAAGCACCGGCCAACUACGUGCCAGCAGCCGCGGUAAUACGUAGGGUGCGAGCGUUGUCCGGAAUUACUGGGCGUAAAGAGCUCGUAGGUGGUUUGUCGCGUUGUUCGUGAAAUCUCACGGCUUAACUGUGAGCGUGCGGGCGAUACGGGCAGACUAGAGUACUGCAGGGGAGACUGGAAUUCCUGGUGUAGCGGUGGAAUGCGCAGAUAUCAGGAGGAACACCGGUGGCGAAGGCGGGUCUCUGGGCAGUAACUGACGCUGAGGAGCGAAAGCGUGGGGAGCGAACAGGAUUAGAUACCCUGGUAGUCCACGCCGUAAACGGUGGGUACUAGGUGUGGGUUUCCUUCCUUGGGAUCCGUGCCGUAGCUAACGCAUUAAGUACCCCGCCUGGGGAGUACGGCCGCAAGGCUAAAACUCAAAGGAAUUGACGGGGGCCCGCACAAGCGGCGGAGCAUGUGGAUUAAUUCGAUGCAACGCGAAGAACCUUACCUGGGUUUGACAUGCACAGGACGCGUCUAGAGAUAGGCGUUCCCUUGUGGCCUGUGUGC